ACUGUUAGUGCUGGUGUGUUCUCACUGAGAUUGAAAAAUAUUUUCCAAGUCCUGAUCUCGAAAUACGAUCUGUUCGGGUGAAGGGUGUGCAUGUGUGAGAAGAAUGACCACAUUCUGCCACUGUCUGGAGGUGGGCAUAGGAAACAGCCCUGCCUUUCUGUCAGAGACAUCGCCCUUCUGAACUUAACCUAGCUAAAUUCUACCCUCAAGAUGCAGUAAAUGGCGCUUCCUCCUGCAAGGCUUUGUCGAGCUUCUCCCUAUGCC
This 264-nucleotide long non-coding RNA is filed under the name Canis lupus dingo (dingo). RNAcentral's name for it is "lncRNA (ENSCAFG00020008515.1)". The record is from RNAcentral. Lineage: Eukaryota; Metazoa; Chordata; Mammalia; Carnivora; Canidae.